This 365-nucleotide ribosomal RNA is filed under the name uncultured Rhodocyclaceae bacterium. RNAcentral describes it as "bacterial SSU rRNA". It matches the Rfam family "Bacterial small subunit ribosomal RNA", at positions 1016 to 1382 of the family's 1533-position model. The record is from RNAcentral. Lineage: Bacteria; Pseudomonadati; Pseudomonadota; Betaproteobacteria; Rhodocyclales; Rhodocyclaceae.
CCGAAAGAGAACCUGAACACAGGUGCUGCAUGGCUGUCGUCAGCUCGUGUCGUGAGAUGUUGGGUUAAGUCCCGCAACGAGCGCAACCCUUGUCAUUAAUUGCCAUCAUUCAGUUGGGCACUUUAAUGAGACUGCCGGUGACAAACCGGAGGAAGGUGGGGAUGACGUCAAGUCCUCAUGGCCCUUAUGGGUAGGGCUUCACACGUCAUACAAUGGUCGGUACAGAGGGUUGCCAACCCGCGAGGGGGAGCCAAUCCCACAAAGCCGAUCGUAGUCCGGAUCGCAGUCUGCAACUCGACUGCGUGAAGUCGGAAUCGCUAGUAAUCGUGGAUCAGCAUGUCACGGUGAAUACGUUCCCGGGUCUU